CCAUCCUUGUCUUGUUUAUAUAAAGCUUCACCAAUCGUCGUAUAAAGUAUACAUUUUAAUAUUAAGCAUCAUUUAAGCUUUUUAUUGAAAUUGGAUGGAAAGGUUUGAAAUAUCAAAUAUUGAAUUAUUUCACUAUACUCCAAAGUAAUUACAUCUAUCACAAAUAAUUCUGUAUUGGAUAGUGCAUCGUUAAUGGGUUCUUACUCAAUAUAUUGGAUAAUUAAGAUAAAUGGUCCACAUUGGAAUGUGAUUUUUCUGGUCUUAUCCAAAUAGUAAAGUCAAAUUUCUGCAAGAAUAAAAUCCAUCAUACAAUAC
RNAcentral lists this long non-coding RNA (315 nucleotides) under Physcomitrium patens. RNAcentral describes it as "long non-coding RNA (PPAT_LNC006922)". Lineage: Eukaryota; Viridiplantae; Streptophyta; Bryopsida; Funariales; Funariaceae. The record is from RNAcentral.